Molecule: long non-coding RNA, 773 nt
Organism: Salvelinus namaycush (lake trout)
Lineage: Eukaryota; Metazoa; Chordata; Actinopteri; Salmoniformes; Salmonidae
Exons: 2
Source: RefSeq, a predicted model, not a curated record
CUUCAGGCCAUUGCCACAGAUCAAGCAGUACCAGUACUUCAGCUUCGAUGCUCUGGAGCCUGCUGUUGUUGUCGCCACGGAGCUUCUGGACCCAGUCAGGACCAGGUUUCAACUGCUGCGCAACGCUGACAUCCUUCCUCCCAUAGAUGGUCUGCCUGUACAAGCACCACCUGGACUAGAUACAGCUAGACAAAUGUAUAUUUUUGAGAAGAUCAGGGAGUUUUGGACGAAGAGGCUAUGGACAUCACAUGCCCUGCACCAAAGUCAAGGGCAGGACAGAAAAAGGCUCUUCAAAUAUAGAUUCCCUUGUUCAUGCGUGGUUCGGACGGACCAGUUUAUCACUGGGAGCGAGUUUCCAGUCAUCAGCACAAUCUGCAGUGUCUUUAUUCACAUGACUCUCCUAACACACACAAUACGUUGCUGCUACUAUUAUUUAUUUUAUUAACCUGCUGCUCAGCCACUUUACCCCUGAUUGUAUGCAUAUAACUCACUCAUCUAUCACUGAUAUCAUUAUUGAUAUUAUUCUUGUACUACUGUAUAUUAUUUUGUUAUUUCUCUACUGGCAUUGACACUUUAUUGACAUGGUCUAUUUUUGAUAUUGCUACUAUGCAAGUAACCAUUUGGCUGUACCGUUUACACCUUCGGUAGAGACCCAUCCACUUGGCAAGAUGUGGCUCGUGGUUACAGCAUUUCUUUCACAUGACCCAUCAAUUUAGACAAGUGUGUCUGGGUAAGGCGUCAGCUAAUAUUUAUAAAAUAUUUUUUUUAUCUGG